CAGCCGCCGCGGGAAAACGAAGGGUGCAAGCGUUACUCGGAAUUACUGGGCGUAAAGCGUGCGCAGGUGGUGGUUUAAGUCCGUUGUGAAAGCCCUGGGCUCAACCUGGGAAUUGCAGUGGAUACUGGGUCACUAGAGUGUGGUAGAGGAUAGUGGAAUUUCCGGUGUAGCAGUGAAAUGCGUAGAGAUCGGAAGGAACAUCUGUGGCGAAGGCGACUAUCUGGGCCAACACUGACACUGAGGCACGAAAGCGUGGGGAGCAAACAGGAUUAGAUACCCCGGUAGUCCCUGUCUCUUAUAA
Molecule: ribosomal RNA, 301 nt
Filed under: uncultured bacterium
Lineage: Bacteria
Description: partial 16S ribosomal RNA
Rfam family: Bacterial small subunit ribosomal RNA
Source: RNAcentral